AUAACAUUUGGACCGUCGGUCUACCGAGCAACAUCACCUGCUCUUGUAAGAUCUUUCCUUCCUCAU
RNAcentral lists this microRNA precursor (66 nucleotides) under Bombyx mori (domestic silkworm). Its description in RNAcentral is "mir-2774 microRNA precursor family". It matches the Rfam family "mir-2774 microRNA precursor family". The record is from Rfam by way of RNAcentral. Lineage: Eukaryota; Metazoa; Arthropoda; Insecta; Lepidoptera; Bombycidae.